Piliocolobus tephrosceles (Ugandan red Colobus) is the source of this 1442-nucleotide long non-coding RNA. The record is from Ensembl. NCBI's taxonomy places the organism in Eukaryota, Metazoa, Chordata, Mammalia, Primates, Cercopithecidae.
CACUCCCAUUUUUAGGAUGCUUUGGGGCUCCCUAAAUGUUUCUGGCCUGAGAUCCAUCUCUUUCCAGGCUCCCUUCUUCUCUUGAAAGCCUUCCUAACGUUAGCCCCACUUCUGCCUCUGAGGUGCAGACACCGUCCUCUUCAUCCUCAUUUUUUUGACCCACAGCUUCUUCAGAAUCCUACCCUCUGUCUCAUCUCAUGAAUCCCAUCUGGGUGCUUCUUGGCCUCUUGAUCUGAUACCCCUGACCUCACAUGGUCAAAAGUCUACCCCUUCCCCAGCCACACGGGAAAUAGACAAAAUUCCAGGAGUUUUACCUCAACAUCAAGAAGAUACUGGUAUGUGUACUAAGGAAAACAGCUUCGUUUACAUGCAACCUGUUGUACAUGAGAAAGCAUUCUUACAUACAUUUCUUCAAAAAGAUUAUGGGACACCAACCAAAACAAGUAAGUGUUGCUUAAUUUCUAUUUAUAAAUCUAGGAUGAUCUCUGCAUUAUAGUAGGGAAAUCUUAAAAAACAACAUCACAUACUAAUGGUAAAAAGAUGAUGCGACAUGAAAAAGUAACAGCAUGAAUACCUCCAAUUGCUAUUUGUGAAUUGAAAAACUAAAUUUUAAAAAAAAUUAGCAGAUUGUGAAUGCAUUACUAAUGAUAAAUUCUGUAUUUUUUUUUUUUUUUUUUUUUCUGAGACAGAGUCUUACUCUGUCACCCAGGCUGGAAUGCACUGGCACAAUCUCAGCUCACUGCAACCUCUACCUCCCAGGUUCAAGCAAUUCUCCUACCUCAGCCUCCUGAGUAGCUGAGACUACAGUCAUACACCAACAGGCCUGGCUAAUUUUUGUAUUUUUAGUAGAAACAGGGUUUCAUCAUAUUGUUCAGGCUGGUCUCAAACUCCUGACAUCUGGUGAUCCACCCAUCUCGGCCUCCCAAAGUGCUGGGAUUACAGGCAUGAGCCACCAUGCCCAGCCAAAUUCUGCAAUUCAUACCCAUCUUUCUGAGACUACAUUAAAGUUUUUCUUCCUGAAUUGACGAUGUUUCUGUGGUCUUACAUAUCACCGCAGAGCAAUUUACAUCUAUGACUAUUACUUUCGUCUCACUAACUCCUCCUCCAGUCAAAAAAAAACAAAAAAUUGUUUUUAAGCUAUGGAAAUGAAGUGUUGCUUAGCUGGAGUGACGUUAUGUUGUGUUUCUGGGGUGACUUCCUGCUCAUGUUGGGGUGAGACUGUAGGCUGUGGGCUGUGUGCUGAGGAGGAAGUCUCUUGAUCUGGAGAGAACCCAUUGUCGGGGAGACCUCCACGGGGCUGAGGGGCCAUGAGCCUGCCCGGGUUUAGAGCACGGGGAGGGUGAAAUUCUGGGGUUGAAUCCUGGGAAUAUUUGAGAACUUCUUGCCUCAGGAGGGGAAGAUCCCUGGAGAAUAAAGACAAACUCUGGGUGUCUUGAGGGGCA